AACGAACGCUGGCGGCAGGCCUAACACAUGCAAGUCGAACGUGAAGCCACCUUCGGGUGGUGGAAAGUGGCAGACGGGUGAGUAACGCGUGGGAACGUGCCUUUCGGUUCGGAGUAACCCAGGGAAACUUGGGCUAAUACCGGAUACGCCCUUCGGGGGAAAGAUUUAUCGCCGAAAGAUCGGCCCGCGUCGGUGUAGCUAGUUGGUAGGGUAAUGGCCUACCAAGGCGACGAUCCGUAGAUGGUCUGAGAGGAUGACCAGCCACACUGGGACUGGGACCCGGCCCAGGCUCCUACGGGAGGCAGCAGUGGGGAAUAUUGGACAAUGGGCGGAAGCCUGAUCCAGCCAUGCCGCGUGGGUGAAGAAGGCCCUAGGGUUGUAAACCCCUUUCAGCGGGGAAGAUAAUGACGGUACCCGCAGAAGAAGCCCCGGCUAACUCCGUGCCAGCCGCCGCCGUAA
Molecule: ribosomal RNA, 459 nt
Filed under: uncultured bacterium
Lineage: Bacteria
Description: partial 16S ribosomal RNA
Rfam family: Bacterial small subunit ribosomal RNA
Source: RNAcentral